UGGGGAAUAUUGGACAAUGGGCGAAAGCCUGAUCCAGCCAUGCCGCGUGUGUGAAGAAGGUCUUCGGAUUGUAAAGCACUUUAAGUUGGGAGGAAGGGUUGUAGAUUAAUACUCUGCAAUUUUGACGUUACCGACAGAAUAAGCACCGGCUAACUCUGUGCCAGCAGCCGCGGUAAUACAGAGGGUGCAAGCGUUAAUCGGAAUUACUGGGCGUAAAGCGCGCGUAGGUGGUUAGUUAAGUUGGAUGUGAAAUCCCCGGGCUCAACCUGGGAACUGCAUUCAAAACUGACUGACUAGAGUAUGGUAGAGGGUGGUGGAAUUUCCUGUGUAGCGGUGAAAUGCGUAGAUAUAGGAAGGAACACCAGUGGCGAAGGCGACCACCUGGACUGAUACUGACACUGAAGUGCGAAAGCGUGGGGAGCAAACA
RNAcentral lists this ribosomal RNA (427 nucleotides) under uncultured bacterium. RNAcentral's name for it is "partial 16S ribosomal RNA". It matches the Rfam family "Bacterial small subunit ribosomal RNA", at positions 355 to 774 of the family's 1533-position model. The record is from RNAcentral.